RNAcentral lists this transfer RNA (76 nucleotides) under Lysobacterales bacterium. RNAcentral describes it as "tRNA-Thr". It matches the Rfam family "tRNA". Rfam says of the family: Transfer RNA (tRNA) molecules are approximately 80 nucleotides in length. The record is from RNAcentral. RNAcentral also lists the same sequence under 1 other name. Lineage: Bacteria; Pseudomonadati; Pseudomonadota; Gammaproteobacteria; Lysobacterales.
GCCGCUGUAGCUCAGCUGGUAGAGCAACUGAUUCGUAAUCAGUAGGUCGCCCGUUCGAUUCGGGCCAGCGGCACCA